This 497-nucleotide ribosomal RNA is filed under the name uncultured bacterium. RNAcentral's name for it is "partial 16S ribosomal RNA". It matches the Rfam family "Bacterial small subunit ribosomal RNA", at positions 28 to 507 of the family's 1533-position model. The record is from RNAcentral.
GAUGAACGCUGGCGGCGUGCCUAAUACAUGCCAGUCGAGCGAACGGACGAGAAGCUUGCUUCUCUGAUGUUAGCGGCGGACGGGUGAGUAACACGUGGAUAACCUACCUAUAAGACUGGGAUAACUUCGGGAAACCGGAGCUAAUACCGGAUGAUAUUUUGAACCGCAUGGUUCAAAAGUGAAAGACGGUCUUGCUGUCACUUAUAGAUGUAUCCGCGCUGCAUUAGCUAGUUGGUAAGGUAACGGCUUACCAAGGCAACGAUGCAUAGCCGACCUGAGAGGGUGAUCGGCCAAACUGGAACUGAGACACGGAACAGACGCCUACGGGAGGCAGCAGUAGGGAAUCUUCCGCAAUGGGCGAAAGCCUGACGGAGCAACGCCGCGUGAGUGAUGAAGGUCUUCGGAUCGUAAAACUCUGUUAUUAGGGAAGAACAUAUGUGUAAGUAACUGUGCACAUCUUGACGGUACCUAAUCAGAAAGCCACGGCUAACUACGUG